GCCUGGAUAGCUCAGCUGGCAGAGCAUCAGACUUUUAAUCUGAGGGUCCAGGGUUCAAGUCCCUGUUCAGGCG
This 73-nucleotide transfer RNA is filed under the name Crocuta crocuta (spotted hyena). It matches the Rfam family "tRNA". Rfam says of the family: Transfer RNA (tRNA) molecules are approximately 80 nucleotides in length. Their secondary structure includes four short double-helical elements and three loops (D, anti-codon, and T loops). The record is from Rfam by way of RNAcentral. RNAcentral also lists the same sequence under 7 other names. Lineage: Eukaryota; Metazoa; Chordata; Mammalia; Carnivora; Hyaenidae.